RNAcentral lists this unclassified non-coding RNA (1779 nucleotides) under uncultured fungus. RNAcentral describes it as "sequence contains 18S rRNA gene, ITS1, 5.8S rRNA gene, ITS2, 28S rRNA gene". The stretch from base 608 to 1779 matches the Rfam family "Eukaryotic large subunit ribosomal RNA", at positions 1 to 961 of the family's 3401-position model. Lineage: Eukaryota; Fungi. The record is from RNAcentral.
GGAGGGAUCAUCAUUGAAAACACAUUUGACAAGAGGUUUUUGUUUUGGGACGAGGGAGGGGGCUGUGGAAACUCUGCAACUCCUCUGAUCUGACUGGGACGGGGCCUCUUGACAAACAACCAAUCUUCAUGACUAUGAAACAUUGACACAGUGAUUUUAGGGAUUGUCUGACAAGUAGCUUGCUGAUUUGGAGCACAACAACUGAUACAACUUUCAACAACGGAUCUCUUGGCUCUCACAUCGAUGAAGAACAUAGCAAAGUGUGAAAAUUAGUGUGAAUUGCAGAAUUCAGUGAAUCAUCGAGUUUUUGAACGCAUCUUGCACUUCUUGGUAUUCCAAGGAGUAUGUCUGGUUGAGUAAUGUGAAUAUCUAAUCAAGCACAGUUGUGUUUGGAGCUGAGUGGCUUGCCUCUGUCUUGUCUCCCCGCACAGGGAAACAGAGAGGCUCACUUGAAAUACAAGGGGACAAGGAUUUGUGUGAUUGCGCCCCAUCUACCAAUGACUUGAUGAGAUUAUCAUAAAGCCUUGGUAGAUGGGACCGGGUCUCACUCCCUACAAUCUCUUGUCUGUCAACUAGGGAACAGAGGGGGGAAACCUCCUCUCAUUUUCAUUCUCAACUCAGAUAGGACUACCCGCUGAAUUUAAGCAUAUAAAUAAGCGGAGGAAAAGAAACUAACAAGGAUUCCCCUAGUAACGGCGAGUGAAGCGGGAAAAGCUCAAAUUUGAAAUCUGCCAAGAGUAACAUUCUUGGCCGAAUUGUAGUUUCAAGAAAGGGAGGCUGAGAGGAGCCGGAUAGAUGCAAGUUCUUUGGAACAAGACAUCACAGAGGGUGACAAUCCCGUCCACCGUCUAGCCGUUGCUCCUCACCAAAGGCCCUCUUUUCAAAGAGUCGAGUUGUUUGGGAUUGCAGCUCAAAAUGGGUGGUAAAUUUCAUCUAAAGCUAAAUAUGGGUGAGAGACCGAUAGCGAACAAGUACCGUGAGGGAAAGAUGAAAAGCACUCUGAAGAGAGAGUGAAAAGUACGUGAAAUUGUUGAAAGGGAAACGCUUGAAGCCAGUCAAGGUUUUCUUGAGAUCAGGAGACUAGACUUGUCAGGUCGGGCAUUGGGAUUGGCCUUUUGAGCCGACUCUGUGUUUGAUUUUGGCAGGGCUGGUUUCUGUAUGUCUCUGGUUAACAAGUCAACAUCAGUUUGGCUGUUUGGGAAAAAGAUAACAGGAUUUGGUUGGGCUCUAGCAGGUCUCGGCCUGUUGGGGCUUAAAGCCUGCUUAUCAUUAUACCAAAUGCUAGACUGAGGACAGCAGUACAGAUCAUCGUCCAGGACUAGGCAGUCUUGUGGCAGCCAGGGGAUUAAACAGCCUAGCUGAUUCUUUUCCUGUCUGUCCAAGUCCUGACCCAUCUUGGCAGGUUCUGACUUUGGAUGUUGACGAAAUGGCUUUAAACGACCCGUCUUGAAACACGGACCAAGGAGUCUAACAUGGAUGCAAGUAUUUGGGUGGUAAAACCCAUGUGCGCAAUGAAAGUGAUAUUUCCCAAGGGUAGGACGUUGGGGGGCCUCGCGGCUCCUUGACAGCACUAUCAACCAAUCUUGUCUAGCUCCGGCUUGAUAGAUUUGAGUAAGAGCAUGUAUGUUGGGACCCGAAAGAUGGUGAACUAUGCCUGAAUAGGGUGAAGUCAGACGAAAGUCUGAUGGAAGCUCGUAGCGAUUCUGACGUGCAAAUCGAUCGUCAAAUUUGGGUAUAGGGGCGAAAGACUAAUCGAACCAUCUAGUAGCUGGUUCCUGC